RNAcentral lists this ribosomal RNA (539 nucleotides) under uncultured bacterium. RNAcentral describes it as "bacterial SSU rRNA". It matches the Rfam family "Bacterial small subunit ribosomal RNA", at positions 8 to 526 of the family's 1533-position model. The record is from RNAcentral.
AGAGUUUGAUCAUGGCUCAGAAUCAACGCUGGCGGCGUGCCUAACACAUGCAAGUCGAACGCGAAAGCCCCGCAAGGGGUAAGUAGAGUGGCAAACGGGUGAGUAACACGUGGGUGACCUGCCUUCGAGUGGGGGAUAACGUCCCGAAAGGGACGCUAAUACCGCAUGACAUCCUGCCUUUGGAGAGGCGGAGAUCAAAGCCGGGGAUCGCAAGACCUGGCGCUUGAAGAGGGGCCCGCGCCUGAUUAGCUAGUUGGUGGGGUAACGGCUCACCAAGGCGACGAUCAGUAUCCGGCCUGAGAGGGCGGACGGACACACUGGGACUGAGACACGGCCCAGACUCCUACGGGAGGCAGCAGUGGGGAAUUGUUCGCAAUGGGCGCAAGCCUGACGACGCAACGCCGCGUGGAGGACGAAGAUCUUCGGGUCGUAAACUCCUGUCGAGCGGGACGAACACCCAUCCGGUGAACAACCGGGAGGGCUGACGGUACCGCUAAAGGAAGCCCCGGCUAACUCCGUGCCAGCAGCGGCGGUAAUAC